UGCGAAGGAUCCUGAAAGGUAGCCUGGAAAACUUCAGUGUAUGGGCAUAGAUCUCAUGCGCGCGCAUGAGUGGCCAAAGAAUGAUACCUGCCCCUCCUCUCUCAGACUUAGCCACGCCCUUCAUUAGUUCCUGAGGAGAUUUUUGCGAAUGGAGGUUAUGGCAGUUUCAGCAUCGAAUUCCAUUUUUAGCAGGUGUGCUUCCUGACCAAAGAAGUCAGAUGAGUGCAUGACCAGCCCCUGCGAGGACAAGGCUUGGAUUCCCAGGAGCAGACAAGGAACUCUGUGGGCAUACUCCAAGCAAACUGGACCUCCUCUGUCACAGGACAUCCACUGUUUAAGCACCACCACUACCUCAGGAAGUCCACUGUCUGUGUGUCAACUCCACUGUUACAGGACCACAAGUUUCUCAGCACUUCAAUUAUCACAGCACUUCUACUGUUCAGGAGCUCAAGAGUCUCAGCAUCUCAAGUGUCACAGGACCUCAUUUGUCCAAGAACUGGACUGUCCAAGCAACACUACUAUUGCGGGACCUCCACUGUCACAGGACUUCCACUGUAGGAGCACUACAACUGUCUCAGGACACCCACUGUCCUAUAACCACCACUAUCUCAGGAAUUCCACUGUCAUAGCACCACCCGUAGCAACUAAAGUGUUUCAGGACAUCAACUGAAGCAAGAUCUCUCAUGAUUCUGCAACUUCACUGCCACAGGAUCUCUACAGUGACAGGAAUACCCCUGUAUCAGCAAUUCCAAUUUUGCAGGACCUCCACUGUAGCAGAACCUUCAAUUUUGCAGCACCUCCCCUGUAGGUAUAUUGACCUCCACGAUCUCAGUGCCUCCACUUUCAAAGGACCUUCACUCUCACAGGACCGGCACUAUUUCAGUGCCUCCACUGUCGCAGGACCUACCUCUUCACAGGAUCUGCACUGUUGCAGCAAAUGUAAUUUCAAUUUUUCAAAGUCAUUGCUGGUUAUUAGAUUUGAGGCUGAAUGAAAUGUGAUGCUACCUUUGAAAGCAUAAGAAUUUGUUAUAUAGCUCCUGUGAUAAAUGCCGUGUGUGCUAGGACCAGUAACCUAUGGAAGACUUCAUGAGCUCAUACCACUCUCCACCUCACUUUGUGGAAGCUGGUGUUUUUAGAGUGUGAUGAACUUCAGGUGAAUGGAUGCAUUCAGCUGCACCACGCUCUAGAGUGGGCUACACAGCAGUCAUAUUGAGUCCUUGCUGGGAAGAGAAGAAAUCCAGAAGAGGGAGAAGGCUUGGGUUGGGGGAAGAAUCAUAAAAUACUUAGAGGAUAUAAGAAGGUAAGAAUUAUGGGGAACUGGAAAACAGAGCCAGAGGAAGAUUGAGCACAGAGCAUAUUGGGAAGGACAAAGUACAAAUGCGCAUGGGUUUUUCCAUCUGCGUGUUCUCUGGACAAUCUCCCUUGGCCUCAUUUCUGGGAGAAAACUCUUCCUCCACCCCCUUGUAAGGUUUCAUUCUUGAAGGAAAGCAGCAAGACAACUUCAUCAGUAAAUUUUCCCAUUGGAAUUGGUUCAUCCUUUAAUGCCUCUGGGAAAUCCCCAGCUGGGGAAUGUCCUGCUCUCUGCUGAGAGACAGCAGGAAAGUAGGUUGUCCUCUGUUUUCUCGUUGCUACAGCUCUUCUAAGUGUGGCUUAUUGGCGAGUGAAGACACAGGACACUUCUGGUGUGUAUGUAUGCUUUGUUCGCUGUGGGUGUUGUCGGGAGUGUCCUGAAAAGAAGAAGGGCAUGCCCAAUGGCUCUUUGUUUCCUCUUUGACUAGCCUUAUGAUCAUAGGGAGACACUAGGCCAUUGGAAGAUGAGGAGAACAAUGUGUCUAUGUUGUGUUCACUUCUAUUCCUAUUUAGUCCUAGAGGGAAAUCAGCAAGGGUAGAGAAUGGGACCGUAACUGGACAAAGCUGCUGAGCCUGUGUUGUGCAGCAAUUCCUGUGUAUAACUUGCUGUUACAUUAAGCAAUAGGAUCCCAUGUUCUGGCUAUACCUUUUUGAUGCAAUGUAUCUAUAAUAUUUUACCUCAAAACUCAAAAGUCAAUCCAAACUAUGGGCUGACAUUAAGAGGUUAAGCUGCCUCUUCUUACACCCCACAGUGAGCAGGGUACACAGCGGCUACAACCUGUCUUCUGAACUGUUGUAUGACAACAGAGUCAAAUACAACAGUGAAAUAUAAGCCUACUCCUAAGAUCCAUAUGUUGUUUUUUUGUUUUUUGUUUUUUGUUUUUUUUUUUUUUGCACCACCAUAAAGUUGUCCUAGGAAGAGAUCAGGUGCACCAAUAGGGUAAGCACCAUGCUGCCAGUUCAGCAUUUGCCCAGGUUUGUCUUGAGUUGAAGGCCAAAGUCGAUGCUUUUGACUUUUCCGUUCUUCUCUAACAAAAUAUAAUCUGGUUUCAGGUCACUGUGAACUUAUACAAUGCCCAUAGCCAUAGAUAAAGCCUGCUAAUAUUUGCCUAAAUAUUUCCUUGGCUCCUUCCUCCUCUCGGUGGAAAGACUUUCAGAUGUAUUUGUAAAGCUGUAAAAUUGCAACCAGUUUCACGAUAAGUUAUUAGAAUUGUCUCAGACUAAUUGGAGAAGCAAGAUGAUGUUGGGGUGGGUGAAAAACUUCAUUAUAUUUGCCAUGGUCAUGUUUGGCUGGCACCAUUGCUUGUUCUUUGCAUGCACUUUGAUAACCCCUGUAGCAGAACUUCCACUGUCCCGGCACCUGAACUAUCCCAAGACCUCCACAGUCAAAGGACCAAUAUUGUGGUAGGGCGUCUGUGGUCAGGCAACUCCUCUGUCUCAGACCCUCCAAAUUGCAAGACCUUUACGGGCACUGGAAGUCACUGUCCCUAACUUCCACUGUUGUAGUACCUCAACUAUAACAAGGACCUCUACUAUUGUACAACCCCCUUGUCAUAGCACAUCUAUUGUUACAAAGUAGUCCACUGUCAAAGGACCUCCAGGGUCUCAGCCUCUCCACUGUUACAGGAUCUCUACUGUCUUAGGACCGCUGCUGUUGGAGGACCUCCUGUGUCUCAGCAACUUCAGUUUGUUGGAGCUCUCCUAUCAGAGGACAUUUACAUUUGCUGUACUUCCAGUGUCACAGCUGUUAUAAGAACCUCCAUUCUCACAAGACCUCCAGUGUGUCAGUACCUCCACUGUCCAAGGACUUUUAUAUUGUAGGACCCCUACUGUCCUACAGAAUGUCCACUAUCGCUAGAUUUCCACUGUCACAACACCUCAACCCUAUAAGAACUGCAAUUUUGGCAUGACCUCCAGUGUUCUAGCCUCUCCAAUGUCAUAGGACCUCCACUAUCACAGGACAUCCACUGUCUCACAAAGGCCAAUUUAAAGGACCUCUACUAUAACAGGAUAUCCACUCUAGCUGGACUUACACUGUUGCAGUACCUCAACUGUUGCAGGACCAACAAGGUUGCAGGACAUAGACCCUCUCAGCAGCUAGAAUUUGCAGGACUUCUACUGGCACAAAAAUUCCACAGUUGCUGGAGCUCCACUGUCACUGCAAAUGCACUGUCUCAUGAUAUUCACUGUUGCUUGACCAGUAGUGUGGCAGCACCUCCAUUUUUGCCAAGCCCCUCCACUGACGCAAGACUUCUACUUUUGUAGCACCUUCACUGUCCAAGCAAACCAACUCCUGCAGGAUCUCCAUUGCCUCAGAGCAUUCACUAAUGCCAGCCCUCCAAUGUUGUAGGAUAUCCACUUUCACAACAGCUAGAAUCUUGCAGGACCUCUACUGGCAAAGACAGUCCACCGCUUCUGGCUCUCUACAGUCAGUGCCAAUGCACCGAUUCAUGACCUCCAUUGUCACAGGACCUCCACUUUUGUAGGACCUUCACUGUCCAGGCAAACUGCAGGAUCUCCAGUGUCUCAGGAUAUUUACUGGUGCAGAGCCUCCCUUUAUUGCAGACUUCAACUAUUCCAAGGUCAUCUACACUGUCUUAGGACCUCCAAUAUUGCAGGACCUCAAAUGUCCCAGGAUCUCAGGUGACAUAGCACCUCCAUUUUCCCAACACCCUUACUGUCCCAGAACCUCAAUUUUCCCAUGACCUAUUCAGUUGCAUGACCUGCAAAGUUGGAAGAACUGCACCGUAUGAGAGCCUCAACUGUUGCAGGACCUCCAAUGUUGUAGGAACACAAUAUUCACUGGACCUACACUCUCCAUCACCUUCACUUUCCUAGCACCUCCACUCUCACAGGACCUACACUGUUGCAGGAACUCCAUUGUCUGAGCACCUGCAUGUCUCAGGACCUCGAAUGAUCCAGAACCUCUAAUGGUGUAGGACCUCCACUGUCACCAGACUUCCACUGUCUCAGGACAUCCACUGUAUCACCACAUAGACUUUUUCAGAAAUUCUACUGGAACAGGAUCUCCAUUGUGGCUGGUCUUACAUUGUCUUAGGCCUCCACUAUCACAGACUUUCAGAUGAAUUUGUAAAGCUGUAGAACUUCAAAGAGCUCUAUGAGAAGGUAUAGACGUGUCUCAGAUUCAAUUCCUUGGUGAAGCAAUAUGAUUUUGGGGUGGAUUAAUAUCUUCAUUAUAUUUGCCAUGGUCUGGUCUGGGUGGCAUCCUUGAUGCUUCUUUCCAUGCAUUUUGAUAACCAUUGUAGCAGUACUUCCACUGUCCCAGAACCUGCACUACCCUAAGAACUCCCUUGUCACAGGACAUCCACUGUGGUAGUACCUCGGCUGUCAGGAAACUCCACAGUCUCAGUACCUCCAAACUGCGAGAUCUCUACUGGCACAGGAAUUCUACUGUCCCUGAACAUCCACUGUCACAGCACUUCAACUGUUUCAAGGACCUCUAUUGUCGCAAGACCUCCUAUAUCAUGGUUAUAAGGACCUGCAUUGUCAAAAGACAUCCAUUGUCUAAGCCCUUCCACUUUCUCAGGAUCUCCAAGCUGCAGGAACUCUACUAGCACAGGUUAUCCAUUGACACUGCUUUUCCACUGUUGCAGGACCUCAACUGUUAUAAGGACCUCCACUAUGGCAGGACCUUCAGUGUCUCAACUCCUUCUCGGUCUCAGCAACACCAAUGUGCAGACCUCUACUAGCACAGGAUAUGCACAGUAUCUACACUUAUACUGUUGCAGUACCUUAACUGUUGCAGGACCUCCAAUUUAGAAGAUGUACUCUUUUAGCAGCCAGACUUUUGCAGGACCUCUACUGGCACAAUAAUUCCUCUGUUGUUGGACCUCCACCGUUAGUUCAAUGGCACUGACUCAUGACAUCCACUGUUGCAGGACCUCCAAUGUUGAAGGAUGUUCACUGUUGCAGGACAUUCCCUGUCAAAGGACCUCUGUUGAUGCAGGAUCUCCACUUUCACUGUUCUAGCAAACCAACUAUUGCAGAACCUACAUUGUUGGAACAACUGCAUUGUAUCAGGACAUUUACUGUUGCACGACCUGUAGUGUGGAAACACCCCCAUUUUUACCAGAUCUCAGCUGUCCCAGGCCCAUCUCCACUGACUGAGGACCUCCAAUAAUGCAGGACACCCAAUAUUUCAGGACCUCAAAUGUGCCAGGGCCUCCACUGAUGAAGGAUCUCCAAUAUCGCAGCACGAAAACAGUCACAGAACCUCCAUUGUCCCAUCACCUUUACUGUCCCAUCACCUCCACUCUCACAUGACCUACAAUGGUGCAUAAACUCCAAUGUCCGAGCAACUGCACUGUCUCAGGGCCUCGAUUGUUCCAGAACCUCCAGUGGGGCAGGACCUCCACUGUCACCAGAUCUCCACUGUCUUAGAACAUCCACUCUAUCACCAACUCGACUUGUGUAGAACCUCUCCUGGCAUAGCAUCUCCAUUGUGCCUGGUCUGACAUUGUCUCAAAACUUCAACUAUCACAGGAAUUCCACUAUAGCAGGACAUCCUCUGUCUAAAGACAACCCCUAUUGCAGGACCUUUACUGUGCAAAGAACUCCACUGUUGCAGGACAUCCAUUCUUGCAACACCUGCAUUGUCUCAGGAUCUCCACUGUACCAAUCCCAUCUCCAAUGUCUCAGGCCGCCCACUCUUUCAGGACCUCCACUGUUGCAUGAUCUUGAAUGUAAAAGGACCUUCGCUAUCUCAGUGCCUCCACUGUUGCAUGAAAUACAAUGUCUCUCAGUGCCUCCACUGUUGCAGGACCUACAAUGUCACGGGUGCAGUACUGUUUUAUCAACACCACUAUCACUUAUUACAAGGCUUUGCUGGUUAUUUAUUUUGAAGCUUAAUGGAGAAUGACGUUACAUUUGACAAAAUAAGAAUUUGUUCCAAACCUCUUGUGAUUAAUUGCCAUAUGUGCAAGGAUCAGUUGCCCCUAGAAGAUUGCAUGAAUCCAUAGCCCUCUAGACCUCACCUUGUGGGAACCCUUUACUUUCGGUGGUGAUACCGUCCCGGUAAAGGCAUGGGGUCAACAGGACAACUCUGAAGUCUGGGGUACACAUCAGUCAUAUUGAGUCCUUGUUCGGAAGAGGAGAAAUCUAGAAGAGGGAGAAAAAUUAUGGUGGAGGAAGAAUCAUACAGUACUUAAAAAGUUAAGACAGAAACGAUUUUGCAGAAAAGGAUACCAGAGACAGAGCUAAUCAACACAAAGCAAACUGGGUAGAACAAAGCACAAAGGUACCUGUCUAUGCCUGCCUGCUGCUUAUUCUUUGGAUGCUGUCUCCAGCCCUCAUUUCUCAGGAGAGAUACUGUCCUGUCCCAGGAGAGUUUUCUUGCUUGAUAGAGCACAGGAACACUGCUUCAUUUGGGUAUUCCUAAUUUCUUGGAGCAUCUGUUGAAUCCUCUUAGCCAGCCACUGAUGGAAACAGACUCGCCCUCUCCUCAUGCACAGAGAGAUAAUAGGUUUUCUUCUAUGUUCUCAUUGAUGCUUCUGUUCGGCCUAAGGCUGCUUGUUGAAUGAAGGAAGAAGACACUCUGGCAUGUAUGUUUUGUCCAGGUUAUCUGUAGUGGCCUGAGAAGAAAGCCAGUCCCCGUGGUUCUUCUGAAAGCUCUAUGACUAGAAUAUGGUCAAAGGCAUAAAUGAGGCCAUGUGGUUGACAAGUCCAAUGUGUCAAUGGUGGGUUGGUUUCCACUCCUCUGCAGUCCAGUCCUAGAGGGACAGCAGCAUAAUCAUCAAGGGUAGGGAAUAGAGCCAUUACUAGAAUCACUGUCUGAGCCUGGGUAUGAAGCCAGGCAUCAGAAUAGCCUGUCCUUCCAGUAAGCAGUUGGAUGCCAUGAUCCACUUAGACUUUCUUUGAUGUAAAGAAUCUUUAUGUCUUGUGUUUUGAAUGGAACAUGUUGCACUACUUACAAAAUUCCAGGGUGUGGCCUGAGAGGUAUCAUUUCUUCAUAGGGGUUUGUGAAACACUCCCAAUCUUCUUUGAAGCAGGGGUGCAUUAUCAUGUCUAUGACUGAUAUUUCUGGGUUUGACUGUUAUUAAAUGCUAAGCAGGUCAUCUAGCUCUCUUGACACCCCAUAGUGGUCAAGAUUCACACCUGCCACAACCUGUCUUUUCAGCUCUUAUAUGAAAAGAGAGGUAACAUUUUCAGCUACCAUAAAAUGUAAGACUCUAACAUUCAUAUGUGGUUCUUUGGAACAUUAUAAGUAUAACCCAGGAAGAGUUCAGGGGCAUCAAAAUGUUAGCACCGUAGUACGGGUUCAGCAUUUGCUCUGGUUUGUCUUGGGUACUAAGGCCAAUGUCGAUGAUUUUGACUUUAUUGUUCUUAUCCAACAUUUUAUUUGUUUUGAAGUCCUGUAUUUAUUCUGUGCCCCUGACAGUAGAUCCAGGCUGCUAAUAUCUACAUAAGUAUUUCCCAUACCUUGUCUUUCACUAUGUAGCCAUACUUUCGGAUACAUUUAUGAAGACAUUGAACCUCACCCAGCUCCAUGACAAGGUAUCUACUUGUUUUCAUGUCAAUUAUUGAAGAUGAUGUUGGAGUGGUUAACCACAAUUGUCAUCAUUGCCAUGGUCAUUAUUGGAUGGCAUAAGUGCUUCUUCCUCACAAGGACUUGGAGGCCACUGUAGCAGGACAUCCACUGUCUUAGCACCUACUUUUUCCCCCACACCUCCACUGUACUGACUGUCCAAGCCUAUGUUGUGUUGUGUUGCCCCUGAAUUUCCUGCCUUUGCAGAAGGAAGUACGAUGCCAUGGUCUGGUUAUAAUUUUGUUCAGUUGAAGUGUCCUUAGUGUCCAGCACUUGGAAUCCUAUAUAGGAUUCCAUUGCUCUUAUACUUACAGGGUCUGGCCUGAGGGGGAUCAUUUGCUCAUAGGGAUUUGGGAACCGCUUCUAGCCUUAGUUGAACUAGGGUUGCAUCAUGACCACAGUGACUUUUGGCCUAUAUCUAGGGUUGACUGUCAUUAGGAGGCUAAGUAGGUCCUUCUGACACCACACCAGAGGCACCACACACUCCUGCUACAACCUGUCUUCUCAACUCUAGAAUGAAGAGAGAGUCAAAUGGAAACUUUCUGACUGCCAUGAAAUAUAAAACUCCACCUAAGGUUCAAAUUUAGUUCUUUGGAACGUCAUAAAAUUUGCCAAAGAAGAGUUCAGGGACACCAAAGGUAUAAGUACUGCAGUGCUGGUUCAGCAUUUACCCUGGUUGGAAUGGGAUACUAAGGCCAAAGUUGAUAAUUUUGACUUUCCCAUUGAUAUACAACAUAAUAUUCUUCGGCUUCAGUUCCCUGUGAAAUAUUGUGCGCCCAUAGCAGUAGCUCAUCACAGCUAUUAUUUAUACAAUAUUUCCCUUGCCUUGCCUUGCUCUAUAUAGCCAUACUUUUGGGUGUAUUUGUAAAGCUGUUGCCCUUCAACCAGCUCCAUGAAGAGAUGUAUUGUUUUGGUCUAAAUUACUUGAAGAUUUGAGAUGAUGUUGGGGUGAUCAACCAUCAUCAUCACUGCCAUGGUCAUUGCUGGCUGGCAUUAUUUCUUCUCCUAUACAAGGACUUUGUUGGACACUGUCACAGGAACACCAGUGUGUUAGAAACUCUGUUGUCAAGUCAACUCCACAUUCUCAGGGCCUCCAAAUUGCAGGGCCUCUCCUGGUACAGGACAUAUACUUCCCCUGUACUUCUACUCUCAGAGAGUCUCAACUUUUCAGGACCUGAAUUAUUGUAGGACCUUCACUGUUGCAGAAAAUUGAUUCUGUCAGCAACUAGUAUGUUGCAGGACCUCAGCUCGCAGAGAAAUUCCACUGCUGCAGGACCUGCAAUGUCAAUGUAAAUCUAGAGUCUCAGGACCUCCAUUGUUGCAGGAUCUCCAGUGUUGUAGGACGUCCAAUGUUGCAGGACCUUCACUGUCAAAGGACCUCCUCUGUCACAGCCUAGCCCUUCAGACUUAUCUAUAAAACUAUUGGCAUUCAAGUAGCACCAUGACAAGGUAUUAUCUUGUCUCAGACUCAAUUACUUGCAUAGUGAAAUAAAGUUGGAGUGAUCAAAAAUCAUCAUCGUUACAAGCACUUUGAUGUGCACUGUAGCAAGACAUCCACUGUUCCAGUGUGGCUUCUGUCCCAGUACCUCCACUAUCACUGGACCUCCAGUGUCGUAGGACCUUCUCACUAACAGCGGCUGCAUUGUGAAGACCCUCAAUUUUCAGGACAUCUACUGUCACAGUAUGUGUACUGUUGCUGGACUUUCAUUGUCACAGCACCUAAACUGUCACAAGGUCAUCCAAUGUCACAGAGCAGUGUCUCAGCACCUCUACUCUCCCAGGACCCCACAGUCACAGGACCUCCAAUAACUCAGGAACUCUAAGUUCCAUUACCUCAAGUGGCACAGCGUGUCCACCCACUGAUGUCGGACUUUCACUGUGGUAACACCUCAACUGUCACAGGACACUCACUCUUGAACAACCUCCACUUUUGGAGGACAUCUAUUUUUCCUGAAACUAGAAUUGGCAGGACCUUCUCUGUCAUAGUACCUCUACUAUCCAAGCACUUCCACUAUCACAGGACCUCUAGUGCUGCAAGACUUUCACAAUUAUAGCAUUUCUCUUGUCGCCACACCUCUACUGGUUCUCCUACACCUGUACUGUCCCAUCACCUCCUAGGUCAAAGAUCCUGACUCGUGCAUCACUUAAAGUGUUUCAAGACCUCCACUGUAGCAGCAUAUCCACUGUCCCAGCUGCUACUCCACUGUCACAGGACCUGAACUGUCUUAGGAACUCCACUGUUACAGGACUUCAUCUGAUGAAGCACCUCAACUGUCACAGUACCUCCACUGUUGCAGUACCUCCAAACUCAGCCACUCCACUGUCACAAGUCUUCCAAUUUGAAGGAACUCGACUGUUGCAGCACCUCCACAGUUGUGGAAGCACCAUUGUUAUGGCACUUCCCCUGUCCUGGGACCUCCAUAGCUUCUACUCUAUAUUCUGAGGACCUCAACUGUUGAAGCACAUCCACUGUCCCAGGACCACUGACAAUGGACAUCACUGUGUCAGGAACACCACUUUUGCUUGGUCUGUCCCUAAAACCUCUGGGCUGGCACUUGCAGAGGACAGACUUUCUCCCUACAGAGGCAUACUAGGAGAGUAGAUUCUCUUCUGGGUUCUUAUUGCCAUUGUUCUUCUCAGUGAGGCUGAUUAUUUAGUGAAUUCAGGCGACACUGGAGGUUGGAUGCAUGUUUCUCCAGUGUGGGUGUCAUCUGGAGUGGCCUGAAGAGAGAAGGGCAGCACCAGGGGCUCUUAUGCCUAAUCUUGGACCAGUUUAUGGCCACAGGGAAACACAAGGCCAUUUCAGGAUGAUGAGACCAGUGUGCUUAGGGUGGGGUAGCUUCCACUCCUCUUGGCACAAAGGGAAUGAAUCAUUAGCAUCAAGGGUAGGGAAUAACUGAACUCAAUGUGUGAGCCUCUGUUGUUCAGCCUUGUACCUGGAGAACUUGCCAGGACAGUAGGCAACAUGAUCCCAUGGGUUGAUUAUACAUUGUAAUAUCUUGGGCUCUGGACUCAAUAUGUUCCAUGUCGUCCACAAUUACAGGGUCUAGUGUGAUGGAGCUCAGUCCUCAUAGGGAUUUGAGAAAGCCUUCCGGUCUUCCUUUAACCAGUGGUACAUCAUCACAUCAGUGACUCUCAUCCUAUAUUUCGUGUUGAGUAUCAUUAAGAGGCUAAGCAGGUUAUCCAUUUCUUCUAAUACCCAACAGGUGUCAGGAUACAGCUGCCACAACCAGUCUUUUCAAAUCUAGUAUGAAUACAGAGUAAAGACCUUAACUUUUUAAAUACCAUGUAAAACUAAGGUCCAUAUGUCAUUCUGUGGACUAUCAUAAAGUUUGAUGAGGAAGAGUUCAGGAGCUCCGAAAGAGAAAGCACCACAGUGCCAGUUCAGCAUUGCCCUGGUUCAACUUGGGCUCUAAGGCGAAAGUCUAUGAUUUUAACUUUUCCACUUAUGUCCAACAUAAUCUUAUAUGGUUUGAGUUCCCUAUGUAUUAUACCGUGCUCAUGGCAUUAGCUCACAGUUGCUCUUAUUUCCCUAAAUAUUUGCCUGACCUGGUACUCCUCUAGCUUACCCCCAUUUUCUGGUGUUUUCAUAAAAUGGUUGUCCUUCAAUGAGCUCUUAUUGGGGAAAUAAGAUGCUGUUCAGGUGGUAGGCCAUCAUCUGUGUCUCUGCCUUGGUCAUGAGUGCCUGGCACCAUUGCUUCUUUAGAAGCAUUUUGAUGGCCAUGGGGCUGAUGGUGUGCUAUUGGGACCUUGGCGUUGCUCCUGUGUCCCAUGGUCCUUAAGUCUUUGUAUUGACAGUGGAAGUUUACCUCCUCAGAGGUUCGGCUUGGGGCAAAAGUGUGGGAACUCCUCUUUCCUCUGUCUAAGCAUUGUAGCUAAAAAUACUACAAAUAUUCCCUAGAAAUAACCUAACAAGUAUAGAAUAAAAAUAAUGAAAAAGAUGUAGGGAAACUGAAGCUAAGAUCACUGCAUGGUUUAACUAAAAAUGAGCAAAAUGUCUUUAGGAUUUCUGUUUGUAUUUUUUGCUCUCUCAAGAGGACAGCCCUCUAGUGCAAUAGAUCACAUAUUCAGAUGAUGUGAAGUGAAAUAUUAAUUAAACAAAUAAUACCACAGCCUAUUAUAGGGCAAUGGAAGGAAAAGAUAGAUUGGAAUGUUUUGGAGAAGGGAGAGGAAGAUGACUAGAGAUGGAGGAAGCAGUCAAGAAGUAAAUGGGAGAGGAAGACGUUGAAAAUGGAGCAGACCCAUGUGGUUUGGAGAAGCCACAAGUAGCUAGUUAUUUCAUAAAUGGGCAAUAGAGUAGUGUAGUGGUGUAUUUGUCUAAUCUAAGCACUCAGGUUGUAAUUAUAUUGUUGAGUUUUCUGUUCUUUGCAUGGGACCUUUGGGGUUGGAGACUUACCCCUGUAAAUCUGGCUACUAUAGUCAUCUGGAGUUUUCAAUACAAAAGACUAAGGCAAGUCCUGUGAGAGGAGCAUUAGCCAACCUUCUUCAGGUCAGUCAGAGGGGGUAGAUGUGAUGAGAAAUGUAAGCAGUCCAGGUAUUUCAGUUAAAGUGGUUGGUUAGCAUAGCAAACUAGCAGCAGGAACCAGGACAAGAUGGAUGCAUAAAGCUAGCCAUGUGGCGUGAGCAUAAGCACUGCUUCCAGAGCAUAGCAAGAAUUAGUACUCCUAUGUUCUCAUUGUUGUUGUUGUUCUCACUGAGGCUGAUUAUUGAAUGAAAUGAGGCGAAACUGCUGGCAUGUUUGUAUGUUUGUCCUGUGUGCGUGUCAUCUGCAGUGGCCUGAAGAGAUGAAGGGCAGCACCAGUGGCUCUGCAGCCUACUCUUUGACAAGAUUAUGACCAAAGGGAGACACUACUCCUUUGGCAGAUGAUGAGACGAGUGUAUCUAGGGCGGGGUAGCUUCCACUCCUCUUCAGCCCGAAGGGAAUGCAUCAUCAUCAUCUUCUUCGUCGUCGUCGUCGUCGUCGUCGUCAUCAUCAUCAUCAUCAUCAUCAUCAUCAUCAUCAUCAAGGGUAGGGAAUAACUGGAUUCAAUGUGUUAGCCUCUGUUGUUCAGCCUUGCAUCAGGAGAACUUGCCCUUACAGUAAGCAACAUGAUCCCGCGGUUUGAUUAUACAUUGUAAUAUCUGAGUCUCUGAACCCAGUAUGUUCCAUUUCUUCCACAAUUGCAGGGUCUAGCCCGAGAGAGCUCAGUCCUUCAUAGGGAUUUGUGAAAGUGUUCCAGUCUUCCUUUAACUAGGGGUACAUCAUCACAUAUGUGAUGUCAACCUAUAUUUCGGGUUGACUAUCAUUAAGAGGCUAAGAGGUCCUCCAUUUCUUCUGACACCCCACCCGGGUUAGGAUAUAUAGUUGCCACAACUGGUAUUCUCAACUCUAGUAUGAAUACAGAGUAAAUUCUGAUUUUUUUUAACUACCAUGAAAUGUAAGAUUAAGGUCCACAUGUCAUUCUGUGGACUAUCAUAAAGUUUGCUGAGAAAGAGUUCAGGAGCUCCAAAAAAGAAAGCACCACAGUGCCAGUUCAGCAUUGCUCUGGUUCAACUUGGGUUCUAAGGCAAAAGUCUAUGAUUUUGACUUUUCCAUUUAUGUCCAACAUAAUCUUAUCUGGUUUGAGUUCCCUAUGUACUAUCCCGUGUUCAUGACCUUAGCUCACAGUUGUUCUUAUUUGCCUAAAUAUUUGCCUGCCCUCUUCCUUCUCUAGGUGGCCCCAUUUUCAGGUGUUAUGGCAAAGCUGUUGUCCUUCACCAAGCUCUUACUUGAGGAAGUAAGUCGCUGUUCAGGUUGUCGACCAUCAUUAUUGUCUCUGCCUUGGUCAUGAGUGGCUGGCACCAUUGCUUCUUUAGAAUCAGUUUGAUGACCAUGGGGCUGCCAGUGAGCUGAUGGUGUGGUAGUGGGACCUUGGCGUUGCUCCUAUGUCCCAUGGUCCUUAAGACAUCUCAUUGAGAGUGGAAGUUUCCCUCCUCAGAGAUUCUUCUCAGGUCUAGGGUGUUGUAACUCCUCCUUACUAUGUGUAAGCACUGUAGUUAAAAACUACAAAUAUUCCCUAGAAAUAACUUAAAACGAAUAGAAUAAAAAUAAUGAGAAAGAUGUAGUGAAUCAGAAGCUAAAAUCACUAUAUGUGUUAACUCAAAAUGAGCAAAAUGUCUUGUGGAUUGCUCUUUGUAUUUUUUGCUUUCUCAAGAGGGUGGACCUGUAGUACAGUAGAUCACAUAUUCAGAUGAUGUCAGGUGAAAUAGUAAUUAGCCAAAUCAAGGUUACAGCCUGUGAUUGGACAUUGGAAGGAAAAGGUAGAGCAGAAUGCAUUGGAAAAGGGAGAGAAAGAAGAAUAGAGAUGGAGGAUGUGGGCAAGAAGUAGAUGGAGGAGGAAGAGGUUGAAAAUGGAGCAGACCCCUGUGGCCUGGAGGAGCCACAAGUAGCUAGAGAUUUCAUAAAUGGGCAAUAGAGUAGUGUAGAGGUGUAUUUGCCCAAUCUAAUCACUCAGUUUGUCAUUAUAUUAUUGAGUUUUCUGUUCUUUGCAUGGGCCUUUUGGGUUUGGAGAUUUACCCUUGUAAAUCUGGCUUGUAUAAACCUCUGGUGUUUUCAUUUCAAAUGACUAAGGCAUGUCCUGUGAGAGGAACAUUACCCAGCCUUCUGCAGGCCAGCCAGAGGGUGUGGAUGGGAUGAGAAUUGCAACAGCACUCCAGGCACUUCAGUUAAAAUUUGUUUGGUUAAAGUAGCAAACUAACAGCAGGAACCAAGACAAGAUGGCUGCAUAGAACUAGCCAUGUAGGGUGAACCUAACCACUGAUACCAGAGCAUAGAAUGAAUUAGCAUGGGUUUAAUUUAAAACUACAUGCAAUAGAUGACAUUGAGUGUGGUAGUCAACAAUCCACUAGGGAGUUAAGAUUCUUGUCCUAGGGAUGAGAGAAUUAGAUUCCUGAAUGAGCAGAGAUGAGUCAAGGGACUCCAGCACAUGGGAAUCUUAAACACAGGGGUAGACAGACCCAAAUCAGGCUCUGAGUUCUCCUCCUGUAAAAAGAAUCAGUAUAAUGAAUGGCUCCAUGCAGAGAGGGAAAGUAAAGGGUGCAUGCUUUUACUGUGUGUACAGCCGUUCACUGGGAGUCGUACCAAUGGCCUUCCCCCAAGGAAGAAUGUAUUUCUAUCAGCUGUUGUUAACUGCAGCUCCUCAUUUGAUGCAAGGGGUUAUAAGUUCUUCCCCCACCCAUGCAUGAUGUGCAGACAAAUGCCACAUAUGUCACUUUAGUCGGUUAACAUAUACUAAUAAAAUGUUGUGGUGUUUUCAAAUUUAUAUGUAUAUAUAUUGUGCAUGUAUAAUGACACAUCGUAUAUACUCGUAGUGGCUAUUCCUGGUUGUGAACUUGACUAUAAGUGGAAUGAACUACAACCCAGAAUUGUAAAGCUCACCUUUGAUCCUGAUGUUGAGGCUGGGAGAUACAAGUUUCUGAACUGCAUCUUGUCAUGGAGAUCAUGAGGCAAAGUGGCUAUGAAUCUCAGGAGCUUAAGGCAAGGAGGUCUCUGAGUUCAAGGUUACCUAGGACAAAACAAGUCCCAGAUCCAGCUGUGGUGGUACUCACCUUUAAUCUGGGACUCACCUUCUGCUGGGGAUUUACAUAAGGACAUUGGAAGAAGGAAGAGUCUCUCUUUCGUCUGCCUGCCUGCCUUGUGGGACUGAGCCACUGCUUGAUCCUUGGACUCCCAUUCAUACCUGCUGCUGAUCAUGGUUGGGGAGUUGGACUACAGACUGCAAGUCAUCAACCGAUUGUCUCUGUGUACAGAGAUUACCCAUAAGUUCUGUGAUUCUAAAGAACCCUGUAUAAGACAGUUCUCUUUUAUAAUAUAUAAUUUCUAUUUAUAUACUUAUGUACAAUGUAAUUUAUUAUUUUAUUCAUAAUUUUAUUAUAUACAUCCAUAUAUCUAUAUGUAAAUAAAACACAGGUUGUAUGCCUAUGAAACAGUAACACACUGCAUACUUGAUGACUGCUGCCUUGUCCCUACUCCCUCCUGCAGGGGAGAAAAUGGACCAGUCUCACCAAUGAAAAAGGUAAACUAAAAUGUUAACAACUGGGUGGAAAUACACAUGGUGUGCAUAUAAAAUAACAUCUUCUUGAUUACUUCUUUAGAAAUUUUUCUUCAUUUCCUGAAGUCACUUUUUAUGAUACAUUAUUAUAUGAUAUACUAUCUCACAGUUAUUAAGGUAAGUUAUUUUUAUUGCUAGUACAAAAGUAUACACAUAAUAUUGUGCUAAUUCCAGUAAUGUCCGGGUACGGCUUCAUGCACAUGACUGCAUUGUACAAUAUUUCCCUAUGUGAUCCAAAGUACUUUUGUUGUUAUAUUAUGAUCUCUAACCAGAAUAUUGAUGAUCCUGAAAUUAUAUACCAUACCUAAGUAUUUUCUCAAACAUUUCAUUAGCUUUCCAUAGAAUGCUAUUGUAAGUGCAUUUGACUGUUCAGUUCCAGGGUAUGAAUUCCAGUAGAACACUUUCUUGAUAAUAUUUCCUUACAAAGUGCUGUUAACUGCUUCCUCCAAGAAGUUAAUUUCUUGUUCUGAAAUUUAAACCUUAUGUUUAAAUAGAAGAAAGAGAAGGCAGAUGCUGGAAUUUUUAGUACCAAGCUGGUUAUCUGUCCUGAUGUGGGUAAGGGCUGGUCACUUGAGGUGUUUCUCAUUCCUUUAGAUUUGCAGCUGUUUUCGACUUUAUAAAUAAUCAUUUUGAGUAUUCCGGGUCUAUGGACAUUUUCUGACCCAAUAUCCAUUUUUACAGGAGUAUUUGUCUUACAAGUUUGGAACCAUAAAAUAGAAACUUUCCCAACUAGUCAAGCUUCCAGGGUAUAUGUGGGUAGGAUUUUGCUCAUUUCCUGCUGUGUGAUUUCAUUGUGCUGUUCUGACCUUGUUUUUGCAUAGGGUGCUGGCCAUUAUAGACUGGAAAUCUAUGUUAAGUCCUGGUCCAAUGCGGUGUUGCAGAUGGGGCCAGUAUUUGUUUUAAAGGAAUCAGUGAAGGGCAUUCUGCACUCGAGCUUUGUGAAAAAGUGUGCAGAUGCUCAUGGCUGUGGAUGCUGUGUGUUGUGAAGAACACUGCAGUUCAUUGAAUAUGGUGUGAGGAAUGCUGCUGUGCACUGACUGUGUUGUGUGAGGAAUGCUGCUGUGCACUGACUGUGUGGUGUGAGGAAUGCUGCUGUGCACUGACUGUGUGGUGUGAGGAAUGCUGCUGUGCACUGACUGUGUGGUGUGAGGAAUGAGCUGUGCACUGACUGUGUGGUGUGAGGAAUGCUGCUGUGCACUGACUGUGUGGUGUGAGGAAUGCUGCUGUGCACUGACUGUGUGGUGUGAGGAAUGCUGCUGUGCACUGACUAUGUGCUGUGAGGAAUGCUGCUGUGCACUGACUGAAUGCUGUGAGGAAUGCUGCUGUGCACUGACUGUGUGGUGUGAGGAAUGCUGCUGUGCACUGACUGUGUGGUGUGAGGAUUGCUGCUGUGCACUGACUGUGUGCUGUGAGGAAUUCUGAUGUGCACUGACUGUGUGCUGUGAGGAAUGCUGCUGUGCAAUGACUGUGUGCUGUGAGGAAUGCUGCUGUGCGUUGAUGCUGUCUUUUUUCUUUUCUCCCUACACCUGCAUACUUCUGGUGGCUCAGGAUGGACAACUAGGUGCCCAUGACCAACUCCUCAUUGUGGAUGGAUUUAGUCUGGUUGGACUUUCUCAGGAAAGGUAUGACUAAUUGGUCACUUAAACACGUCGACUAAUUGCAACCAGGCUGAGGAACCUAAGCAGAAGUAUUCUGAACAUAGACUCCUCUAUGACAGUGAGCGCUGUUUCCUCAUAUUUUCUACCUAAGGCAGCUGAACUCAUGACUACAACCAUUUCCAUGGUUACCCUGGAAGUUGCACAUCAAGGCAUCCUCUCUCACUGCGUGUCCACCUUUCUUACCCAGCCAUUGUCCUCCAUGGUGGAGAGAGCCUCUUACCACUUCCAAGGAAGAACUUCAGGAAGAGUUUUACCUACUUGAGCUCCAUUGAGUAGAGGCUGGCAAGGGUCUCUAGUGUGACAGUGAUAUGUGGAUCCAGAGCUCCUCCGUGGAAUAUAUGACAUCCAGCCAGGAGCAACUGAACCCUUCCUCCAAGUCAGUUACCCCUGCUUCCACUCUGACUAAGAGUGGUCCUGGCCAUUGGAAAACCCUAGCAGAGGUGCUGUCCACCCCUGUGACUGUCUCCCAGCCCACAUGAACAGACCUCCCUCCACUACCUCCUCCACCACAUGUACAUUACACCAGAUUUUGGUGGCAUUUCAGUGGAUUAGCCACUCCCCCCUCCUUCUGCAAACGAGGCAGGAUCCCAGUCUGCUCACGUGGCUGCUGGCUAGCAAAAAAAGAGUGAGGAGCAGCAGUGGUGGUCUGAGAUAUAGAAGGCCUGCCUGGACAAGGAAGUAGAGAGGAAGCAUGGGGAGCAGGAGAGGAAAGAGCGACAGAUGCACUCUCAUUCCCUGAACCUGCUUCCUUCUCUUCUUUGACCACACCGGCCAAACCAGGAAAACCUUCCACGCUGCAGAGAACAGAACACCAAUGGUGCUCACAUAUUGAGAUCAACAAUUAAUAAAUGAAACUUGAUGAAACUGAAAA
Rattus norvegicus (Norway rat) is the source of this 18492-nucleotide non-coding RNA. The record is from RefSeq and is a predicted model, not a curated record. NCBI's taxonomy places the organism in Eukaryota, Metazoa, Chordata, Mammalia, Rodentia, Muridae.